Molecule: ribosomal RNA, 229 nt
Filed under: uncultured bacterium
Lineage: Bacteria
Description: partial 16S ribosomal RNA
Rfam family: Bacterial small subunit ribosomal RNA
Source: RNAcentral
CGCGUAGGCGGACCUUCAAGUCGGAUGUGAAAUCUUGCAGCUCAACUGCAAGCCUGCAUUCGAAACUGAAGGUCUUGAGUACAGUAGAGGAAAGCGGAAUUCCAGGUGUAGCGGUGAAAUGCGUAGAUAUCUGGAAGAACACCAGUAGCGAAGGCGGCUUUCUGGGCUGAUACUGACGCUGAAGCGCGAAGGCUUGGGUAGCAAACAGGAUUAGAUACCCUGGUAGUCC